This 72-nucleotide transfer RNA is filed under the name Lignipirellula cremea. It matches the Rfam family "tRNA". From Rfam's summary of the family: Transfer RNA (tRNA) molecules are approximately 80 nucleotides in length. Their secondary structure includes four short double-helical elements and three loops (D, anti-codon, and T loops). Further hydrogen bonds mediate the characteristic L-shaped molecular structure. tRNAs have two regions of fundamental functional importance: the anti-codon, which is responsible for specific mRNA codon recognition, and the 3' end, to which the tRNAs corresponding amino acid is attached (by aminoacyl-tRNA synthetases). tRNAs cope with the degeneracy of the genetic code in two manners: having more than one tRNA (with a specific anti-codon) for a particular amino acid; and 'wobble' base-pairing, i.e. permitting non-standard base-pairing at the 3rd anti-codon position. Lineage: Bacteria; Pseudomonadati; Planctomycetota; Planctomycetia; Pirellulales; Pirellulaceae. The record is from Rfam by way of RNAcentral.
GGGUCGGUAGCUCAGCGGCAGAGCAGACGUCUGUUAAGCGUCCUCGCGCGGGUUCGAGUCCCGCCCGUCCCU